UACGUAGGGCGCAAGCGUUGUCCGGAAUUAUUGGGCGUAAAGAGCUCGUAGGCGGUUUGUCGCGUCUGCUGUGAAAACCUAAGGCUCAACCUUGGGCUUGCAGUGGGUACGGGCAGACUAGAGUGCGGUAGGGGUGACUGGAAUUCCUGGUGUAGCGGUGAAAUGCGCAGAUAUCAGGAAGAACACCCGUGGCGAAGGCGGCUCUCUGGGACGGUACUGACGCUGAGACGCGAAAGCGUGGGGAGCGAACAGGAU
RNAcentral lists this ribosomal RNA (255 nucleotides) under uncultured bacterium. Its description in RNAcentral is "partial 16S ribosomal RNA". It matches the Rfam family "Bacterial small subunit ribosomal RNA", at positions 524 to 778 of the family's 1533-position model. The record is from RNAcentral.